This 460-nucleotide ribosomal RNA is filed under the name uncultured bacterium. Its description in RNAcentral is "partial 16S ribosomal RNA". It matches the Rfam family "Bacterial small subunit ribosomal RNA", at positions 338 to 795 of the family's 1533-position model. The record is from RNAcentral.
CCUACGGGGGGCUGCAGUGAGGAAUAUUGGUCAAUGGCCGGAAGGCUGAACCAGCCAUGCCGCGUGAAGGUCAGUGCCCUAUGGGCGUUAAACUUCUUUUGUGCGGGAGCAAUAAUGGUCACGUGUGGCCAGACGAGAGUACCGUACGAAUAAGCAUCGGCUAACUCCGUGCCAGCAGCCGCGGUAAUACGGGGGAUGCAAGCGUUAUCCGGAUUUAUUGGGUUUAAAGGGUGCGUAGGCUGUGAGGUAAGUCAGCGGUGAAAUGCCCCCGCUCAACGGGGUGAAGUGCCAUUGAUACUGCCUGGCUGGAAGGCGGAUGCCGUGGGAGGAAUGUGUGGUGUAGCGGUGAAAUGCAUAGAUAUCACACAGAACACCGAUUGCGAAGGCAUCUCACGAAUCCGCGAUUGACGCUGAUGCACGAAAGCGUGGGUAUCAAACAGGAUUAGAUACCCUAGUAGUC